AUUGAACGCUGGCGGCAGGCCUAACACAUGCAAGUCGAGCGGCAGCGGGAAAGUAGCUUGCUACUUUUGCCGGCGAGCGGCGGACGGGUGAGUAAUGCCUGGGAAAUUGCCCAGUCGAGGGGGAUAACAGUUGGAAACGACUGCUAAUACCGCAUACGCCCUACGGGGGAAAGCAGGGGACCUUCGGGCCUUGCGCGAUUGGAUAUGCCCAGGUGGGAUUAGCUAGUUGGUGAGGUAAUGGCUCACCAAGGCGACGAUCCCUAGCUGGUCUGAGAGGAUGAUCAGCCACACUGGAACUGAGACACGGUCCAGACUCCUACGGGAGGCAGCAGUGGGGAAUAUUGCACAAUGGGGGAAACCCUGAUGCAGCCAUGCCGCGUGUGUGAAGAAGGCCUUCGGGUUGUAAAGCACUUUCAGCGAGGAGGAAAGGUUGAUGCCUAAUACGUAUCAACUGUGACGUUAUUCGCAGAAGAAGCACCGGCUAACUCCGUGCCAGCAGCCGCCGUAA
RNAcentral lists this ribosomal RNA (508 nucleotides) under uncultured bacterium. RNAcentral describes it as "partial 16S ribosomal RNA". It matches the Rfam family "Bacterial small subunit ribosomal RNA", at positions 30 to 523 of the family's 1533-position model. The record is from RNAcentral.